Molecule: ribosomal RNA, 492 nt
Filed under: uncultured bacterium
Lineage: Bacteria
Description: partial 16S ribosomal RNA
Rfam family: Bacterial small subunit ribosomal RNA
Source: RNAcentral
AGUGAACGCUGGCGGUAGGCCUAACACAUGCAAGUCGAACGGCAGCACAGUAAGAGCUUGCUCUUACGGGUGGCGAGUGGCGGACGGGUGAGGAAUACAUCGGAAUCUACUUUUUCGUGGGGGAUAACGUAGGGAAACUUACGCUAAUACCGCAUACGACCUACGGGUGAAAGCAGGGGAUCUUCGGACCUUGCGCGAUUGAAUGAGCCGAUGUCGGAUUAGCUAGUUGGCGGGGUAAAGGCCCACCAAGGCGACGAUCCGUAGCUGGUCUGAGAGGCUGAUCAGCCGCACUGGAACUGAGACACGGUCCAGACUCCUACGGGAGGCAGCAGUGGGGAAUAUUGGACAAUGGGCGGAAGCCUGAUCCAGCCAGACCGCGUGGGUGAAGAAGGCCUUCGGGUUGUAAAGCCCUUUUGUUGGGAAAGAAAAGCAGCAGGUUAAUACCCCGCUGUUCUGACGGUACCCAAAGAAUAAGCACCGGCUAACUUCGUG